GGUAGCGCCUCGUGAAUUCAUCUCCGGGGGUAGAGCACUGUUUCGGCUAGGGGGCCAUCCCGGCUUACCAACCCGAUGCAAACUGCGAAUACCGGAGAAUGUUAUCACGGGAGACACACGGCGGGUGCUAACGUCCGUCGUGAAGAGGGAAACAACCCAGACCGCCAGCUAAGGUCCCAAAGUCAUGGUUAAGUGGGAAACGAUGUGGGAAGGCCCAGACAGCCAGGAUGUUGGCUUAGAAGCAGCCAUCAUUUAAAGAAAGCGUAAUAGCUCACUGGUCGAGUCGGCCUGCGC
Molecule: ribosomal RNA, 294 nt
Filed under: Salmonella enterica subsp. enterica serovar Thompson
Lineage: Bacteria; Pseudomonadati; Pseudomonadota; Gammaproteobacteria; Enterobacterales; Enterobacteriaceae
Description: partial 23S ribosomal RNA
Rfam family: Bacterial large subunit ribosomal RNA
Source: RNAcentral